Non-coding RNA from Serendipita vermifera MAFF 305830, 73 nucleotides. The record is from the annotation of a GenBank genome assembly. NCBI's taxonomy places the organism in Eukaryota, Fungi, Basidiomycota, Agaricomycetes, Sebacinales, Serendipitaceae.
GGGCGCAUGUUCUAGUGGUUAUGAAAUUUGUCUUACACACAAAAGGUCCCCAGUUCGAUCCUGGGUGCGCUCA